RNAcentral lists this ribosomal RNA (454 nucleotides) under Vibrio parahaemolyticus. RNAcentral's name for it is "bacterial SSU rRNA". It matches the Rfam family "Bacterial small subunit ribosomal RNA", at positions 74 to 526 of the family's 1533-position model. The record is from RNAcentral. Lineage: Bacteria; Pseudomonadati; Pseudomonadota; Gammaproteobacteria; Vibrionales; Vibrionaceae.
GAAUGAUAACACGCGUCUGAGUGGCCGAAGGGGGAGUACUGCCCAGGACUUGCCAUGAUGUGGGGGACAAACAUUGGAAACCAUGGCUAAUACCGCAUGAUGCCUUCGGGCCAAAGAGGGGGACCUUCGGGCCUCUCGCGUCAGGAUAUGCCUAGGUGGGAUUAGCUAGUUGGUGAGGUAAGGGCUCACCAAGGCGACGAUCCCUAGCUGGUCUGAGAGAAUGAUCAGCCACACUGGAACUGAGACACGGUCCAGACUCCUACGGGAGGCAGCAGUGGGGAAUAUUGCACAAUGGGCGCAAGCCUGAUGCAGCCAUGCCGCGUGUGUGAAGAAGGCCUUCGGGUUGUAAAGCACUUUCAGUCGUGAGGAAGGUGGUGUAGUUAAUAGCUGCAUUAUUUGACGUUAGCGACAGAAGAAGCACCGGCUAACUCCGUGCAAGCACGCGCGGUAAUAA